CCUUCCUUGAUGAUCCUUCAAGACUUUCGUUCAUCUGAGUCUCCUGAAGCAAUUUGUGUCUCUGAGAAGG
Molecule: small nucleolar RNA, 70 nt
Organism: Pseudophryne corroboree (corroboree frog)
Lineage: Eukaryota; Metazoa; Chordata; Amphibia; Anura; Myobatrachidae
Product: small nucleolar RNA SNORD59
Exons: 1
Source: RefSeq, a predicted model, not a curated record